UACGGAGGGUGCGAGCGUUGUCCGGAAUCACUGGGCGUAAAGGGCGCGUAGGCGGCGCGGUAAGCGGGCGGUGAAAGCCCGGGGCUCAACCCCGGGUCGGCCGUGCGGACUGCCGCGCUGGAGCACUGUAGAGGCGGGUGGAAUUCCUGGUGUAGCGGUGAAAUGCGCAGAUAUCAGGAGGAACACCAAUGGCGAAGGCAGCUCGCUGGGACGUGACUGACGCUGAGACGCGAAAGCGUGGGGAGCAAACAGG
This 253-nucleotide ribosomal RNA is filed under the name uncultured bacterium. RNAcentral's name for it is "partial 16S ribosomal RNA". It matches the Rfam family "Bacterial small subunit ribosomal RNA", at positions 524 to 776 of the family's 1533-position model. The record is from RNAcentral.